CGUGUAGGCGGUUUGGUAAGUCUGAUGUGGAAGCCCCGGGCUCAACCCGGGAAGUGCAUUGGAAACUGUCAGACUUGAAUACGGGAGAGGGUAGUGGAAUUCCUGGUGUAGGAGUGAAAUCCGUAGAUAUCAGGAGGAACACCGGUGGCGAAGGCGGCUGCCUGGACCGAUAUUGACGCUGAGACGCGAAAGCGUGGGUAGCAAACAGGAUUAGAUACCCUGGUAGUCCAUGCCGUAAACGAUGAGUACUAGGUGUUGCGGGUAUUGACCCCUGCAGUGCCGCAGCUAACGCAUUAAGUACUCCGCCUGGGAAGUACGGUCGCAAGACUAAA
This 332-nucleotide ribosomal RNA is filed under the name uncultured bacterium. RNAcentral describes it as "bacterial SSU rRNA". It matches the Rfam family "Bacterial small subunit ribosomal RNA", at positions 568 to 898 of the family's 1533-position model. The record is from RNAcentral.